RNAcentral lists this long non-coding RNA (1916 nucleotides) under Citrus x clementina. RNAcentral's name for it is "Citrus clementina (C. clementina) long non-coding RNA (CCLE_LNC001195)". The record is from RNAcentral. Lineage: Eukaryota; Viridiplantae; Streptophyta; Magnoliopsida; Sapindales; Rutaceae.
CUUUAGGUAAUCUUUAGAGUUAUGGCUAUAGCCGUAAAAUUUAACUUAGAGUUUAUGGUUUAAGAUGUAGAUUGAUGAGAUUAGAUUAAAAAAAAAAUAUGGUGAAUAAUUGCAAAUUAAUUAAGUCUAGCUAAACAGAGUAUCAAUAAUAAUAUGUUUUAUAUCAAACAAAAAUACUAUAUUGCUCUUGGAAAGUUAAAUUUUACGACUAUAGCUGUAACAACAAUGACUUUAAUUAAUUAAAGAGAAAAAGCCAUUUUCACUCCUAUAGUUUGAUACAAUACCCUAUUUCAUCCUUAUUAUUUAAAUAAUAACUUAUUUCCUCCAUACUUUUUAAACAAUAAACUAAAACUGUUAGCCUAUAUGACUAUAUAGCAUUUUGAUUUUGAUAAUAACAAAUCAUGACCUAAUGGGUAAUAUUGGAAAUACUUAUUAUGUUUUUAAAACAAGAAAAUGAAUGAUGAUUUCUCAAAGUUCUUAAAGUAUUUUCUAUAUAUUUUUUAAAGGAAAAUUCUUAUAUGAGAAUGCGAUUUUAUAAUCUAAUUAAAUGCUAGUUUUCGUAAGAUACAAUAUUUUAUUGAUAAAUGACAUCCCACUUAAGAAAACCAGCAAACUAGAUUCAGAAAAUGUGCUUAUUGGAGAUAAUUGGCUAACCCAAAUGUGCAAAACAGAAAAUCUGUUGCUUAAAUUGAACUCUCUGGAAUCAAACGAGAUACCGAUUACCGAUAAAUGGUAAACUGAUUAUAUCAAUUGAGCUUUUUAGAAUCAAAUGGCAUAUCGGUUAGCAAUAAACGAUAAAUCAAUUAUAUCAACUGAGCUCUCUAGAAUCAAACGACAUCCUUGUUACCAAUAAACGGUAAAACGAUUAUAUCAAUUGAGCUUUUUGGAAUCAAACGGCAUACCGGUUACAAAUAAAUGGAAAUGUGGUUAUUCAAAAUUUAAAUUUCGGCUACAACGGCAAACUCAAGAGGCAAUUUGGUUAGGAAAAAUGACAAACUGAUUAUGAUCGAAAAGUCAAUAACGGCUAGUUUUGUGACUCUAUAUAGAAAUAGUUGAAAAAGACACCAUUGCAAAGAAUGCUGAACGAUUUGGCAAUCUUUAUUUGUAUUCAAAAGUGUUCUAAAUUUACAUCUUGUACACAUACACAUAUUUGAGCUAUCAUUUGAUUAUAUUUAGUUGGGAAUGUGUAUAUCUUUGUUCUUCAUUUCAAUAUAAAAGAUUAAGGGAUUGUAAGUGUGGAAACACUUGGUAAGAGGUGAGAGAUUCAUCUUAAGAUUGUAAAGGUUGAUUGACACCUCAAAAGUCAAUUGUAAAGAUUUUGAAGCCUUAAGGUGUAAGGUUUUGAUGGUGAAAUCCGCAAGCCCGGUGAACUUAGAGACGUGGACAUAGGCGGAGUUUACCAAACCACGUAAAGAUCUCCCAUUCAAUUCUCUUUUUCUUCUCUCUUUAUAUUUUGAUUGUUAAUAUUUAUUUGAUCGUUAUUUACUUAACUUAUUAGAUAUUUGAAUUGAGUUUUGUUUUAAUCACUUAAUAAUUUUUAGAAACCCAAUUCACCCUUCUCUUGGGUUGCAUAGUUAGUAUUUCAGAAACACCCUUCUAUUAAUUUACAGUUUAAUUCAUUGAGGGUAAAGUAGGAUUUUCAAUUAAAGAUAUACAAAUUAUUUUAAAAUAAACUCUCAAGCACGAUUAAAUAACAUCUGACAUUUUGCAUAAAUUUAAAUUUUAAAAAUAACUUAAUGAAUAAACAAUAAAAACACUAAAUAAUAUGUCAAAUAUGUAUUUAGACAAAAUUAAAAAAAAAGAUUUCACAAACACUAGGGUAAGGUUUCUUUUUGUCCUUUAGCUUGUCAUAUGGUCAAAAUAAAUAAAUAAAUAGUUAGUACUAUUAUUUUACCAAAAAAAUACAUAAACUCCUU